This 356-nucleotide long non-coding RNA is filed under the name Phoenix dactylifera (date palm). Its description in RNAcentral is "long non-coding RNA (PDAC_LNC016897)". Lineage: Eukaryota; Viridiplantae; Streptophyta; Magnoliopsida; Arecales; Arecaceae. The record is from RNAcentral.
UCCUAUUGUCAUUAAGUACACAUGUGGGGAUCUAAUAAUAGGUCUCUGAUCAGUCAUAGUAUGCAUGUGUUCCUUGCCUUAAUAGUUGCACAAACUCAAUAUGAAAAUACAUGUGCAUUUGCUCAGAAAAGAAAGUAACAGAAUAAAUCAAAUGCAAAAACAAGUUUUUUUUUUUGAUCAAAAUAUUUCCCUCCCCCCAACUUAAACAUUGCAUUGUCCUCAAUGUAAAAAAAAUGCAAGAAAACUAUAUAUGAGAGACAAUAGAGAAAAUAAUAGAGAGAAGAAGAAUACCUUGAGCUGUUGAUUUUUAGAAAAGAAGACCUACAAAAUAAGAAGAAAACUAGAAAUAAAAGAAA